This 253-nucleotide ribosomal RNA is filed under the name uncultured bacterium. RNAcentral's name for it is "partial 16S ribosomal RNA". It matches the Rfam family "Bacterial small subunit ribosomal RNA", at positions 524 to 776 of the family's 1533-position model. The record is from RNAcentral.
UACAGGGGGUGCAAACGUUGCUCGGAAUUAUUGGGCGUAAAGCGCACGUAGGCGGUCUGUUAUGUCGGAUGUGAAAGCCCUUGGCUCAACUGAGGAAGUGCAUCCGAAACUGGCAGGCUAGAGUACGUAAGAGAGUCGCGGAAUUCCCGGUGUAGAGGUGAAAUUCGUAGAUAUCGGGAGGAACACCGGUGGCGAAGGCGGCGACCUGGGACGAUACUGACGCUGAGGUGCGAAAGCGUGGGGAGCAAACAGG